This 498-nucleotide ribosomal RNA is filed under the name uncultured bacterium. Its description in RNAcentral is "partial 16S ribosomal RNA". It matches the Rfam family "Bacterial small subunit ribosomal RNA", at positions 28 to 507 of the family's 1533-position model. The record is from RNAcentral.
GACGAACGCUGGCGGCGUGCCUAAUACAUGCAAGUCGAACGAGAGCGCCCGGUGCUUGCACUGGUCAAUCUAGUGGCGAACGGGUGAGUAACACGUGGGUAACCUGCCCAUCAGAGGGGGAUAACAUCCGGAAACGGAUGCUAAAACCGCAUAGGUCUUCGAACCGCAUGGUUCGAAGAGGAAAAGCGGCGCAAGCUUCUGCUGAUGGAUGGACCCGCGGUGCAUUAGCUAGUUGGUGAGGUAACGGCUCACCAAGGCCGUGAUGCAUAGCCGACCUGAGAGGGUGAUCGGCCACAUUGGGACUGAGACACGGCCCAAACUCCUACGGGAGGCAGCAGUAGGGAAUCUUCCGCAAUGGACGCAAGUCUGACGGAGCAACGCCGCGUGAGUGAAGAAGGUUUUCGGAUCGUAAAACUCUGUUGUUAGAGAAGAACAAGUGCUAGAGUAACUGUUAGCGCCUUGACGGUAUCUAACCAGAAAGCCACGGCUAACUACGUG